This 208-nucleotide microRNA precursor is filed under the name Oryza nivara. RNAcentral describes it as "MIR812 microRNA precursor family". It matches the Rfam family "MIR812 microRNA precursor family". The record is from Rfam by way of RNAcentral. Lineage: Eukaryota; Viridiplantae; Streptophyta; Magnoliopsida; Poales; Poaceae.
AAUAAGUGUAGCCGUAGAUAUCCGUGCCCAAUGUUUGACCAUCCGUCUUAUUUAAAACAUUUGUGAAAAAUUUAAAAAUAUUUAGUCACGCAUAAAGUACUAUUCAUGUUUUAUCAUCUAAUAGUAAUAAAAAUACUAAUCAUAAAAAAUUUUCAAAUAAGACGAACGGUCAAAUGUUGAACGUGAAUAGUGUAAAACUGCACUUAUU